UCUACAAAAAUGUCUCUCCCUCUAUCAGGAGACCAUUUAAUCAAACUGGCAUCAACACACUUCCACUUAGCCAACUUCCUCUGCACUUUGCUGUCAAAGUUGACCCCGCUGUGGAAUCUUGUGAUGAGGGAGUAUACUUGCCAAAGUUCCUUCACCCUACCCCAGAGAAUGGAGAACAAAUUCAAGCUAAGAUCAACCAGGAGCUUGAGAUCAUAAUCAGUGCAACAGCCUCUGCCACUGUGGUUCAUGAUAUCAUCAUAAGUGGACCCCUGAACAUCACAGUCAACAAGUACAACAAUGGUUCUGAACAGUUUGUUCUGAGAUGGACUCCAAGGAUCGAUGAUCUUGGGGAGUAUUUUCCCUUCUGUUUCAUUGCUGAAAGUCACACAGUAAAGUAAGAAUAUUAAGGAGGACACUGUUUUUCUUGUAUACUUUUUGCG
Long non-coding RNA from Clupea harengus (Atlantic herring), 440 nucleotides. RefSeq lists it as uncharacterized. The record is from RefSeq and is a predicted model, not a curated record. Lineage: Eukaryota; Metazoa; Chordata; Actinopteri; Clupeiformes; Clupeidae. The transcript is spliced from 3 exons.